UGGCAUAGUUUUGUUUCUUAGAGAAAUGA
This 29-nucleotide non-coding RNA is filed under the name Rattus norvegicus (Norway rat). Lineage: Eukaryota; Metazoa; Chordata; Mammalia; Rodentia; Muridae. The record is from RNAcentral.